CCAACCCUGAACUCAGUCGUGUACUACCCGACUGAACUUAGACC
Molecule: ribosomal RNA, 44 nt
Filed under: Pristionchus sp. MJ-2005
Lineage: Eukaryota; Metazoa; Nematoda; Chromadorea; Rhabditida; Neodiplogasteridae
Description: partial 28S ribosomal RNA
Source: RNAcentral